This 254-nucleotide ribosomal RNA is filed under the name uncultured bacterium. Its description in RNAcentral is "partial 16S ribosomal RNA". It matches the Rfam family "Bacterial small subunit ribosomal RNA", at positions 524 to 776 of the family's 1533-position model. The record is from RNAcentral.
UACGAAGGGGGCUAGCGUUGCUCGGAAUUACUGGGCGUAAAGGGCGCGUAGGCGGUCAGCACAAGUCAGUUGUGAAAUCUUCGAGCUCAACUCGGAAACUGCAUCGGAAACUAUUCGGCUAGAGGAUUGGAGGGGAGACUGGAAUUCUCGGUGUAGCAGUGAAAUGCGUAGAUAUCGAGAGGAACACCAGUGGCGAAGGCGAGUCUCUGGACAAUUCCUGACGCUGAGGCACGAAAGCUAGGGGAGCAAACAGG